This is an RNA transcript of Trichomycterus rosablanca, 3722 nucleotides long. It is a transcript of the gene named cell cycle associated protein 1a, with no coding region annotated. The record is from RefSeq and is a predicted model, not a curated record. Lineage: Eukaryota; Metazoa; Chordata; Actinopteri; Siluriformes; Trichomycteridae. The transcript is spliced from 20 exons.
GGCGUGCGCCGCUAGUAGCCGGGCAGGCCGACGGUCUGGAACGUGUUCAGCUGGCUUAAUACAAAACACAUCAUUCGAAACCAAGUUUAAACAAAUACAGGGGGUUGACAUCUCUUUCACAUUUGAAAGUAAAGAUGCCAUCUGCAACCGCUGGCGACUAUGCUGUUCUGUCCUCCAGUCCAGAGCUGGGCUCUGCCUUGGCGUCGUCCACGCCGUCCGAGGCCCUCAAACAAGUGUUAAACAUCAUCGAGAAGAAGGUCCGGAACAUGGAGAAAAGAAAGAGCAAGCUGGACGACUACAAGAUGCGUAAGGAUAAAGGCGAAAGCCUAAAUCAGGAUCAGCUGGAUGCUCUGGCUAAAGCUCAAGAGGUGUCGCAUAACUUGGAGUUUGCUCGGGAACUUCUGAAGAGCUUCUCAAGUUUGAACGUGGAGAUCCAGAAGGCGGUGAAGAAGACGGCACGGCGAGAGCAGCUGAGGCGAGAUGAGGCGGAGCAGAGGCGUCUAAAGGCGGUGUUGGAGGUGCAGUACGUGCUGGAUCAGCUUGGUGAGGAGACUGUAAGGCAGGAACUUCGGCAGAUCGAACGGGGAGGUGACGGACCUCUGCUCACUGAGGCGGAGCUUACUGCCCUUGAUGACUUUUACAAGCUGGUCGGCCCUGAGAGGGAUCCUAAUGUCAGGUUGACUGAGCAGUUCGAAGAUGCCUCUGUGCAUUUGUGGGAGCUGUUGGAAGGAAGAGAUAAAGCUGUUGCCGGAACCACUUACAAGGCCCUUAAGGAGACUGUAGACAAGAUACUACUCAGUGGUUACUUUGACCAGACACAAACACACCAGAAUGGGGUCUGUGAGGAGGAGAGGGUAGAAGAUGAAGAGGAGGAGGAGGUGGAGGUUGACGAGCAGCAGCCCGUACCUGCUGAGUCGGCAGAGUGUGAGGAGCAGCCAGCAGAGCCAGAAGGUUCUGUUACUCAAGAAUUCACAGAGACUAUCGAGGUGGAAGCAACAGAGUUUGUAAACCGAAAAUUCAUUCCAGAAACCACUUACACCAGUACUGAAAAAGAACAAGGAGGUGAAUGGGCUGUUAAUGUGGAGAUGGUAAGCUCCCUCCAGCAGCAGCAGCAACAGGCGCCGCAGCAGCAACAGGCGCCGCAACAACCCCCUUCGUCGAUGACCCCUGCGCUAGUGACCCCAGAUACCCACACGCUCAAUCCCGCAAUCCCUCCAUCAACCGACCCUCUGGUCAGGAAGCAGGUUGUGCAGGACCUUAUGGCUCAGAUGCAGGGCACAUACAACUUCAUGCAGGACUCAAUGCUGGAGUUUGACGGGCAGCCACUUGACCCUGCUAUAGUAUCUGCUCAGCCUAUGAAGUCAGCACAGAUUAUUUGUGCCCCCGCUCAAACAGAAUCCAGACUUUCUCAGCACAGCACAGUUCCUGUACAUUCAGAACCCAACCAAGUUUCCAUGGUAUCUGCUCCUGCUGAAGCGUAUACCCCUACACCUCCACUCUACCAGCCUCCUCACAGCUCAGACCCUCGGCCGCCGAGCGACACCAUGGACCCGCUCCAGGUGUCCAUGCCCCUGUCAUCUGAACAGCCCCCUGCCCCUUCCACCCAGCCGCAGGCCUUUCAGUCCGUCUCCAAACCCCUGCACAGUGGCAUCAACGUUAACGCUGCACCAUUCCAGUCCAUGCAAGCGGUGUUUAAUAUGAAUGCCCCAGUUCCACCUUCGAGUGAACUGGAAUCUCAAAAGAUGUCCAACCAGUACCAGAGCACUUACUCACAGAGCUUCAGCAGCCAGCCCUCGCACUCAGUAGACCAGCAGGAGCUUCAGCAGGAACCUCUUCAGUCAGUUGUCGGAGCGUUCCACACUCAAGACCAAGGCAUUCCUUCUGGGGGCCACCAGGCAAUGUCUCAGCAGCCAUCGGGACAGGGCACGGGUUUCGGGCGCCAAUCACAGUCCUUCUACAGUACCAGAGCUGUACCACGCGGCGGACCUAGAAACGCAAGAGGGGGCAUGAAUGGUUAUCGUGGCCCCUCUAAUGGCUUCAGAGGUGGAUAUGAUGGCUACCGUGCUCCCUUCCCCAACACUCCCAAUACGGGUUAUGGGCAGACCCAGUUUAACACUCCACGGGAUUACCCUAGCAGCACCUACCAACGAGAAGGAUAUCAGCCGAACUUCAAGAGAGGAGCUGCCCAGGGAGCUCGAGGGAGCUCUCGAGCACGAGGGGGACCAUACAAGCCAAACAGAGGAAUGGGAACCAUGGCUAUACCACAGAGUAGCUAACCACAACCCAACAGGCCUACAUUUUCACCAUCACACCACACUUACCCUCUCUUCCUCUGGUACCCUGGACUUGGCUUGAGCUCUUGUCAGUCCAUGUAGCAAGUUUAGUUCCUGUCUGGUUGUUUUGAAAUCCUGCAACCAUACUGGCUGGCUGUAAAUAAACCUUUACACAUAUUCUUGGCAUCGGGCUGAAAACACUUGGUAGGAGUUUAAAUAAUUAGCUGUAGUACGGAACACUUUCACAGACUAUGUAUGUGGCAGUUAGAGCUGUGCAUGUACACUUGAGCAUGUGCAAACAUAUUACAAUCAGUGGUCAGUCCUGUCUUACACCACACACUAAGGCUGCCUUCACAUGGACAUUGCUGGCUUUCAUGAAACAAAAUGAUGAAAAUGAGAUUUUAUGUGCUGGACUGUGCAGCUUAAACGAGUUAGUUUUCCUUCACUGAUUUAAAUGCAUGAAAAGGUUCCAAACAGCACUAUUUUGACACAUGGAUAUGUAUUGGUGUACAUGAUGGAUUAAUGUGCCAUUCUCAUUCGGUUUAACUGUACAGUGGUACCUUGUAACUCAACGACCCCUAAACUCAAAAUCUUUGAAACUCAAUGCCCUUCAUCAAGAAAUUUGUCCCCCUAAACUCAACAUGUGUGCGACUGCUGCUUUGUUCAGCGCUCGGCUUGAGCGGUGCGGUAAAACGUCAUGCAAACGAGACGAAUCCGCAUUUGUGUGGAAUAACCGUCAAAUUCACUCUGAAAGCUCCACAUGUAUCUUCAGCAGUGUUUUUUCAUGUUUUACUUUUAAACUUGUGUUACAGCUCUGGGUUCUGAGAAACUGUAAGAAUCAGCUUUUCCGAAAUAGUCUAGCUUAUCAUUAAAAAAAAUUUUUUAACUUAAUGUAUUAAAAGAACAACAUAGAAACACUAAACCUCUCUUAAUUACUGCUUAUACAGUAUGUUCUCUCCACUAAAUUUUAACUGCUUUUCAAUUGUAUUUCAGUGUUUAUAUAUUAUAUUUGUGUUAUUCUCAUUGUAUAAUUGUCAAAAACAACCUUAUUCUUUACAUUAGACUAAAAUGUAUGCAGUUCCACAGGACCACGGAACGCAUUAACUGGUUUCCCAAACAUUCUUAUGGUAAAAAAUACCUUAAAACUCAACGCCUUUUAAACUCACCGCAUGUUCCAGAACCAACUGAUGUUGACUUUCAAGGUACCGCUGUACUUGCAUUCGUCUCUGAUUUCAAUAAUGUCCAUGUGAUUAAACAUCGGACAUCUCUGGCAUGAGCUUUUUAUUGUGAAAACAGCCAGGGGGGCACUGGGGCUGAGAGAAUUUUCACAUACAUCUGUAUUUGCAAAUGAAUUUCUAUAGACAUUUGAAAGUGUGAUGGCCAAAAUUGUUCCAAAAAGGACAAGUACACAUGCACUGGCAAUUUAUUAUUAUUUACUUUUUUUUUUUU